UAUGUGAUCGUCUCUCGCAUAUCAAUAAGCGGAGGAAAAGAAACUAACAAGGAUUCCCCUAGUAACGGCGAGUGAAGCGGGGAAGAGCUCCAAAUUUGAAAUCUUAAAGGGUUUCCCCUUACGAAUUGUAGUUUAAAGAAGUGUUUUCUGUUGAGGUUUUGGUAAAAGUUCUUUGGAAUAGGACAUCAUAGAGGGUGAGAAUCCCGUAUUUGACCUUUACUUUCAACUUUGUGAUACACUUUCAAAGAGUCGGAUUGUUUGGGAAUGCAGUCCAAAAUGGGUGGUAAAUUUCAUCUAAAGCUAAAUAUUGGCGAGAGACCGAUAGCGAACAAGUACCGUGAGGGAAAGAUGAAAAGAACUUUGAAAAGAGAGUUAAACAGUACGUGAAAUUGUCAAAAGGGAAGCGUUUGACACCAGUGUUGUUUUUCUGAAAAUCAAUUAAAGAACUGUUUAUGCUAAGUUGUUUAGACUUUAUCAGCUAUCUGCUUAGUUUUGAGCUUUUCUUUAAUGCACUUUUCAGUUAACAAGUCAACAUCAAUUUCUUUUGCUGUAAAAAAGCUUGAGGAAGGUGGCUUGAGAUUCGUCUUAAGUGUUUAUAGCCUCUUGCCUAUGCAGUCGGAGAGAUUGAGGUCUGCAGCGUAGAUCCUUCGGGGCUAAAUGCAUUUGUGCUAAGUUAUAGCAUUUUAUAGACAACUUGUUGACUAUGAUUUGUCUUGUAGCUUACUCGCUUAUGUUAUUUUACCUACGCUUAGGAUGUUGAAGACUCUACAGAGAUA
RNAcentral lists this ribosomal RNA (776 nucleotides) under uncultured Neocallimastigales. Its description in RNAcentral is "partial large subunit ribosomal RNA". It matches the Rfam family "Eukaryotic large subunit ribosomal RNA", at positions 24 to 628 of the family's 3401-position model. Lineage: Eukaryota; Fungi; Neocallimastigomycota; Neocallimastigomycetes; Neocallimastigales. The record is from RNAcentral.